Molecule: unclassified non-coding RNA, 290 nt
Filed under: uncultured Gemmatimonadaceae bacterium
Lineage: Bacteria; Pseudomonadati; Gemmatimonadota; Gemmatimonadia; Gemmatimonadales; Gemmatimonadaceae
Description: contains 16S-23S intergenic spacer region
Source: RNAcentral
UCCGGUUUGGCACCGGCAGUCCCCCGAGAGUCCUCAGCACCUGUGCUGGAGCUCCGAAGAGGGGCCGAUGUUUCCACCGGCUUUCCCCAGCAUGUCAAGCCUAGGUAAGGUUCUGCGCGUUGCGUCGAAUUAAACCACAUGCUCCACCGCUUGUGCGGGCCCCCGUCAAUUCCUUUGAGUUUCAGCCUUGCGGCCGUACUCCCCAGGCGGGGCACUUCAUGCGUUAGCGCCGGUACUCCAAGGGUCGCUCCCCGGAGCACCUAGUGCCCAUCGUUUACAGCGUGGACUAC